UUUUUUUUUUCUUUUUUGGCCGCACCCUUGGCCAUAUUGGAAGCUCCUGGGCCAGGGAUCAAAUCUGAGCCUCGUCUGAGUCCUACACCACAGCUGGGGCAAUGUCAGCUCCUUAACCCACUGUGCUGGGCCAGGGAUAGAACCAGCAAUGCCACGGAGAUGCGCCAGAUCAUUGACCCACCAGGCGCCACAGCUGGAAUCCAAGUUUAGCAUUUGUUCAUCUCUGUUUAUCUAAUUCAAACUCCUUGCCCCAUCUGGAGCAGAAAGGAGGACAUGUGGAUAGCUGCCUCCAAGCCCCACCGUCCUGGGAGUGACAAAUGUGGGGUCCCAAAGAAGGGCAAUGAAUCCUGGCUCCGUGCCCCCGGUGGCACAGGGCAGGGGGCAGGGUGACAGUGAGGCCCCACAGGUGGGCUUGGGGCUGCCACCUCCAGAGAAGAAUGGGGACGGGGGGGGAGGGGGCUGUGCAUAGUGACCAGGGCAGAUGGAGUGACGCCCCAAAGCUUUCAGUCACCAGACCCCUGCAGUUCUUCCCAUCCCUCUCCUCACCACCGAGAGUGCUCUCUGGACUGAGGGGCUGAGGAGAAGUUCACUGGUCCCCAGCUCUUGCUGCUUAUGGGAUGAAGCCACAAUUGCUCAGGAGGGGAGUGUAAUCCUAGGAGCUCCCAAAGAAUGAGAGGUGACUGGGACCCUCACUGCCACUGUGCACCAGGCCCUCAGACCAGUGCCUCAAAUAAACACUACCCCCGUUGACCCUCAAGAGCACUCCUAUGAGUUAGGCACUUUCGUGCCUGACAGAUGGGCUUCUGAGGCUCAGAGAGCUUGGCAGCAUGCCCAAGGUCGCACAGGUGGUAGGUGGUGAUUCAAAGCCAGGUCUGCUUGGAGUUCCAUGGCUGUGGAGUCUUUCCUGGGUACAGGGCUGAUGUCGACCAGAACUUGUAUCCCCUACCCUAUGAAAGCAGCAUAGUUCCUCCACAUUCUCACCCAACUCCAAACUCUAGGUCCCUCCAGGUCCCAUGGCAUCUUUGCACCUAUAAAGGGAGCCCAGGACCCCCUUGAGGCCCCUAGAAGACAGGUAUUUGAAAGCACAGCUUUCUGGAUCAGCCUGCGACGGGCUGGGUAAGAAGAGUAGAGCAGCAAGGCUGUCCCGCUUUCAUGCGGAGCCUCUAGAUCAGGGUGAUGCCCAAAGGAGGUAGACAGCCUACGAACAAGCAAGACAGUAACUUCGCUUGGUGACUUCAAGGAAGAAUUGGCCUCGUGUUGGAUGGUAUCAUUGAGCUAUGUUUAUUCAUACGUGGCUUUCCCAAGCCAGGGACCACGAGGGCGUUAGGGGUCUGGGGACCAACCUGUAGGCCUCUCUGCCUUCAGGCAGUACCACCCAUCCCAUCUCCUACCCCAGCCUGUAGGGGCUGGAAGGCUCCAGGCCAGGGCUAGGAUUGGGGCUGGAAAGGAGAGAGAAUUAUCUGGGCAAAAUCUCCGCCUCCCACAAUGGAUACUGCGAUCCUGGUGCAGUUUGGCAAGUCUUAACACAGGCCUGGUGUGCCUCGCCUCUCAGCAAGGGCCUUGGGGCAGCCCCACAGAAGGGGAACCCCCCCCCUACCCCUGGGCUGCAGGUCAGGACCCAGGAGACAGGUCACAGGGGAGGAUGAAUCUUAAUGAAGGCCUGAAAGUGUGUGCGCUAAAGCCCACCUGCCCCAGACAAGCACGGUGUGCCUCUACUCUGACCGCCUCUGAGCCUGGAGAGGGGGCUGGUGGGGGGCAACGUCCUCAAUCUGCCUGAGGUUUCCCCGGGGACCUCCCAUAAUCCUCUUCUGCCCUUUCUCCCCACCCGGGCUGCUCAGCCCUGCCUGCCGCAUCUGUGGCCUAACAGUUGUGGGGGUGGGCAGAGACCAGCCCGGAUGCCUCCAGCUUCUUAGCAGCUGUGAGCUCUCUCUGAUGCCUGCUGGUUUCAAGCCUUUUCUUCUGGAAUGUUCAUCUUUGUCCACUGACAACACCUCCAUCGACUGGGAGUGCCGAGAGGCCAAGAACUUCCAAGGAGGCAGAAUGCCUUGGAUCCCCAGACGGGAGGCCACCACAAACCCUCACCUGUGCUUUGUUUAGGCCGUUUUUCUGGUGGAAAAAAAAACAUUAUUGAGAGAUGCGGGAGGGCCCUCGAGACUCUAGGGGCGCCUUUAUUUGCCUGUUGGAACACAGUUGGAGCUGGUGGGGAUUGCCAGGGAGAAGAGGUCCCCCCUUCUGAGACUUCAUGGCAGAGUAGGGUGCGGAGCUGUUGUGGACGACAGUCCUGGGCUCUCCGGAGCUGCCAUGCCCCACAGGGAGCCGCUAGUCCCCACCUCCCCAGUGGCUCCUGUACUGUGCACGUAGCCCCAUUUUCCAGGACUCUGGACCCCCCCCGCUGGCUGGGGUGCUUGUUAACAUGGCACAACCCUGGGUCACCCUUGACAUUCUGCUCACAGAGGAGAGGAAGGACAGGGAACCUUGCUAUCAGGCCUCUCUGUCCCCGGUGACUCUUGUUUCUCAAUUUAAGAACCUUUGUGCUCAGGCCAGACCCCCACCAGGGGCAGCGCUGCACAAAGAGCCCUUUUCCUCCUCCAGCGCAGCUCCCAGCCCCCAGGCUGUGGUGUUAACGCCCGACCUUCAGGAACAGCAGCAUUUCUCAGCCUCUUGGUGCCCUCUGCGAAGCGGAGCAAUGAGUGGCCAGGCCAAGAAGCUGCCUGUCCCGGCAGGAGCUGCUCCCCAGAGCCCUCCUGCCUGGACCUUGCCCUGUGGGCCUCUGGCCAGGGUGACAGCAUGGGAAAACCCCAUGGGAGCCACAGAGGCGGAGGUGGGGAGGUGCCACCAGGGCUGGGAAUGCGGCUGCCCGGGGGCGGAGGCCUCAGCCUCCCCCCGCCACCGGGUGUCCACUGCGCCCCAUUCCAGCGCGCCCACCUCCUCCUGUUUCCUCCUGGGCGCUCUGAGCCAGGGAGGCCUCCCCCACCCCCGCCCCAGGCAGCCUACAAAUUUGAAUUCAUCUUUCAAAACCAACCUCAGGCACAGGGAACCAGAGUUGAGAUUUUGUAAUAACCUGUAAAGGAAGAGAAUCCGAAAAAAUAUACAUUUGUGUAUAACUGAAUCACUCUGCUGUACCCCUGAAACCAAAACGACAUUCAAUAUAAAUCAACUCUACGUCAAUUAAAAUAAAAUAAAGCCACCAACCUCAGCUCCCUCAGCUUUUCUAUGAAUUCUCGUGCCCCUCUGAGCACUGAUGUCCCCUUCCUGUGGUCCCCGAGAGGAAGCACAUCCCUCAUGUCCCCCGCCUCCCCCGUCAGCAGGCAGAGCGCCCUGUAGGCCUCGCCUCAGUGAGCAGCCGCAACU
Molecule: long non-coding RNA, 3351 nt
Filed under: Sus scrofa (pig)
Lineage: Eukaryota; Metazoa; Chordata; Mammalia; Artiodactyla; Suidae
Description: lncRNA (ENSSSCG00045010022.1)
Source: RNAcentral